Molecule: transfer RNA, 77 nt
Filed under: Candidatus Uhrbacteria bacterium
Lineage: Bacteria; Candidatus Uhriibacteriota
Description: tRNA-Arg
Rfam family: tRNA
About the family: Transfer RNA (tRNA) molecules are approximately 80 nucleotides in length. Their secondary structure includes four short double-helical elements and three loops (D, anti-codon, and T loops).
Source: RNAcentral
GCGGCGUUAGCUCAGCUGGAUAGAGCGUCUGGCUUCGGACCAGAAGGUCGGGGGUUCGAGUCCCUCACGUCGCACCA